This 230-nucleotide unclassified non-coding RNA is filed under the name Athalia rosae (coleseed sawfly). RNAcentral's name for it is "misc RNA ENSAEAG00005002146.1". Lineage: Eukaryota; Metazoa; Arthropoda; Insecta; Hymenoptera; Athaliidae. The record is from RNAcentral.
UGACCAUCACGUGUCGAUGCUCCCGAGCGGUCCGCAAUUCGUCUAAACGAAUUCGAGGCUUUCAAUUGGUCAACUUCACCGCAGUACUUAUUCAACUUCCGACCACGAAGGGCAGGAGUUACAUGGCAUCGCACAAUUCGUUUACAGGUACUCUGAGAUGCUGUCGCCGCAGUUAUGACCCCCUGGACUUCCCCUGUUCAUCAGGGGGAGUCCAGGGACCCGUCCCCUGG